This is an RNA transcript of Spea bombifrons (plains spadefoot toad), 641 nucleotides long. It is a transcript of the gene named ATP-binding cassette sub-family D member 3-like, with no coding region annotated. Lineage: Eukaryota; Metazoa; Chordata; Amphibia; Anura; Pelobatidae. The transcript has 6 exons. The record is from RefSeq and is a predicted model, not a curated record.
GGUGAGCUCUUGGUUUUGACUGUCACGUAACUGCCUGCUGCCUGUGCAGCAUUGGGUUUCUACCACAUGGCCUUUAUAUUAAAUCCGUUCUGCAUCCAUCAAAAGCAUAGUAUAAGGAUAUUGCAUUUCACUGAUUUUCUCAAAUAUCUGUUGCCUCUGUGGAAAGUGCGCUGUAACAUACAUACAUGUGGUGGUUUGCAGUGCGAUCAUCAGCCGCAGCAGAAACGAUUUUAAGAGAGGCCUCUUCAACUUUAUAGCCGCCAUGCCUGCCGCAACUUGGACAACAGGAUAGCAAAUGCACAUCAGCUGCUCACGCAAGAUGUUGAGAGGUUUUGUAACAGCGUGGUGAACCAGUAUUCAAACUUAAGCAAGCUAUUUUUGGAUAUCGUUCUGUAUAUUGUCAAGCUGACAAAUGCUCAGGCUAUAUAGGUUAAGAUCCUUUAACCUGUCCUGGGACCAGCCAGCAUGAUGGCUUACCUACUCGUAGCUGACCUUUUCCUUACACACCUUAGAAGGCCUAUUGGUAAGAUGACAGUAGCCGAGCAGCGGUAUGAAGGUGAAAUACAGAUAUGUUAACUCCCGUCUCAUCAUCAAUAGGUAGUGAAGAAAUGGCCUUUUACAAUGGAAAUAAAAAAAUAAAA